UGCCAGACUCCUACGGGAGGCAGCAGUGGGGAAUAUUGCACAAUGGGGGAAACCCUGAUGCAGCGACGCCGCGUGAGUGAAGAAGUAUUUCGGUAUGUAAAGCUCUAUCAGCAGGGAAGAAAUAGCGACCUUUGGGUCGCCAGACGGUACCUGAUUAAGAAGCCCCGGCUAACUACGUGCCAGCAGCCGCGGUAAUACGUAGGGGGCAAGCGUUAUCCGGAUUUACUGGGUGUAAAGGGAGCGUAGACGGCAGCGCAAGUCUGAAGUGAGAUGCCGGGGCUUAACCCCGGAACUGCUUUGGAAACUGUACGGCUGGAGUGCAGGAGAGGUAAGUGGAAUUCCUAGUGUAGCGGUGAAAUGCGUAGAUAUUAGGAGGAACACCAGUGGCGAAGGCGGCUUACUGGACUGUAACUGACGUUGAGGCUCGAAAGCGUGGGGAGCAAACAGGAUUAGAUACCCUGGUA
This 464-nucleotide ribosomal RNA is filed under the name uncultured bacterium. RNAcentral's name for it is "bacterial SSU rRNA". It matches the Rfam family "Bacterial small subunit ribosomal RNA", at positions 329 to 792 of the family's 1533-position model. The record is from RNAcentral.